GCAGCAGUGGGGAAUUUUGGACAAUGGGCGAAAGCCUGAUCCAGCCAUGCCGCGUGCAGGAUGAAGGCCUUCGGGUUGUAAACUGCUUUUGUACGGAACGAAAAAGUCUUCUCUAAUACAGGGGGCGAAUGACGGUACCGUAAGAAUAAGCACCGGCUAACUACGUGCCAGCAG
This 174-nucleotide ribosomal RNA is filed under the name uncultured bacterium. Its description in RNAcentral is "partial 16S ribosomal RNA". It matches the Rfam family "Bacterial small subunit ribosomal RNA", at positions 348 to 514 of the family's 1533-position model. The record is from RNAcentral.